ACUUAACCGAACCUUCUGGGAACGUUAAGGGCGGCGAGCGGCGGACGGGUGAGUAAUGCCUGGGAAUAUGCCCUGAUGUGGGGGAUAACUAUUGGAAACGAUAGCUAAUACCGCAUAAUCUCUUCGGAGCAAAGAGGGGGACCUUCGGGCCUCUCGCGUCAGGAUUAGCCCAGGUGGGAUUAGCUUGUUGGUGAGGUAAUGGCUCACCAAGGCGACGAUCCCUAGCUGGUCUGAGAGGAUGAUCAGCCACACUGGAACUGAGACACGGUCCAGACUCCUACGGGAGGCAGCAGUGGGGAAUAUUGCACAAUGGGGGAAACCCUGAUGCAGCCAUGCCGCGUGUGUGAAGAAGGCCUUCGGGUUGUAAAGCACUUUCAGUAGGGAGGAAGGUAGUGUAGUUAACACCUGCAUUACUUGACGUUACCUACAGAAGAAGCACCGGCUAACUCCGUGCCAGCAGCCGCGGUAAUACGGAGGGUGCGAGCGUUAAUCGGAAUUACUGGGCGUAAAGCGCAUGCAGGCGGCCUGCUAAGUCAGAUGUGAAAGCCCGGGGCUUAACCUCGGAAUUGCAUUUGAAACUGGCAGGCUAGAGUCUUGUAGAGGGGGGUAGAAUUUCAGGUGUAGCGGUGAAAUGCGUAGAGAUCUGAAGGAAUACCAGUGGCGAAGGCGGCCCCCUGGACAAAGACUGACGCUCAGAUGCGAAAGCGUGGGGAGCAAACAGGAUUA
Molecule: ribosomal RNA, 726 nt
Filed under: uncultured Photobacterium sp.
Lineage: Bacteria; Pseudomonadati; Pseudomonadota; Gammaproteobacteria; Vibrionales; Vibrionaceae
Description: bacterial SSU rRNA
Rfam family: Bacterial small subunit ribosomal RNA
Source: RNAcentral